Molecule: ribosomal RNA, 492 nt
Filed under: uncultured bacterium
Lineage: Bacteria
Description: partial 16S ribosomal RNA
Rfam family: Bacterial small subunit ribosomal RNA
Source: RNAcentral
AGUGAACGCUGGCGGUAGGCCUAACACAUGCAAGUCGAACGGCAGCACAGUAAGAGCUUGCUCUUACGGGUGGCGAGUGGCGGACGGGUGAGGAAUACAUCGGAAUCUACUUUUUCGUGGGGGAUAACGUAGGGAAACUUACGCUAAUACCGCAUAUGACCUACGGGUGAAAGCAGGGGAUCUUCGGACCUUGCGCGAUUGAAUGAGCCGAUGUCGGAUUAGCUAGUUGGCGGGGUAAACGCCCACCAAGGCGACGAUCCGUAGCUGGUCUGAGAGGAUGAUCAGCCACACUGGAACUGAGACACGGUCCAGACUCCUACGGGAGGCAGCAGUGGGGAAUAUUGGACAAUGGGCGCAAGCCUGAUCCAGCCAUGCCGCGUGGGUGAAGAAGGCCUUCGGGUUGUAAAGCCCUUUUGUUGGGAAAGAAAAGCAGCAGGUUAAUACCCCGCUGUUCUGACGGUACCCAAAGAAUAAGCACCGGCUAACUUCGUG